This 218-nucleotide ribosomal RNA is filed under the name uncultured Staphylococcus sp. RNAcentral's name for it is "partial 16S ribosomal RNA". It matches the Rfam family "Bacterial small subunit ribosomal RNA", at positions 142 to 356 of the family's 1533-position model. Lineage: Bacteria; Bacillati; Bacillota; Bacilli; Caryophanales; Staphylococcaceae. The record is from RNAcentral.
GAUACUCGGGAAACCGGAGCUAAUACCGGAUAAUAUUUCGAACCGCAUGGUUCGAUAGUGAAAGAUGGUUUUGCUAUCACUUAUAGAUGGACCUGCGCCGUAUUAGCUAGUUGGUAAGGUAACGGCUUACCAAGGCGACGAUACGUAGCCGACCUGAGAGGGUGAUCGGCCACACUGGAACUGAGACACGGUCCAGACUCCUACGGGAGGCAGCAGUG